CCUACGGGUGGCAGCAGUGAGGAAUAUUGGUCAAUGGCCGCAAGCCUGAACCAGCCAAGUAGCGUGAGGGAAGACUGCCCUAUGGGUUGUAAACCUCUUUUAUGCGGGGAUAAAGGUGUCCACGAGUGGAGGAUUGCAGGUACCGCAUGAAAAAGGACCGGCUAAUUCCGUGCCAGCAGCCGCGGUAAUACGGAAGGUCCGGGCGUUAUCCGGAUUUAUUGGGUUUAAAGGGUGCGUAGGCCGGUCCUUAAGCGUGCCGUGAAAUUUUGGGGCUCAACCAUGUGUGUGCGGGGCGAACUGGAGACCUUGAGUGCGCGAUAGGCAGGCGGAAUUCGUGGUGUAGCGGUGAAAUGCUUAGAUAUCGCGAAGAACCCCGAUUGCGAAGGCAGCCUGCCGCAGCGUGACUGACGCUGAGGCUCGAAAGCGCGGGGAUCGAACAGGAUUAGAUACCCGAGUAGUC
This 460-nucleotide ribosomal RNA is filed under the name uncultured bacterium. Its description in RNAcentral is "partial 16S ribosomal RNA". It matches the Rfam family "Bacterial small subunit ribosomal RNA", at positions 338 to 795 of the family's 1533-position model. The record is from RNAcentral.